CCUACGGGAGGCAGCAGUGAGGAAUAUUGGUCAAUGGUCGCGAGCCUGAACCAGCCAAGCAGCGUGAAGGAUGACUGCCCUACGGGUUGUAAACUUCUUUUAUCAAGGAAUAAAGUGAGGCACGUGUGCCUUUUUGUAUGUACUUGAUGAAUAAGGAUCGGCUAACACCGUGCCAGCAGCCGCGGUAAUACGGAGGAUCCGAGCGUUAUCCGGAUUGAUUGGGUUUAAAGGGUGCGUAGAUGGGUUGUUAAGUCAGUUGUGAAAGUUUGGGGGUCAACCGUAAAAUUGCAAUUGAUACUGGCAGUCUUGAGUACAGUCGAGGUAUGCGGAAUGCGUGGUGUAGCGGUGAAAUGCUUAGAUAUCACGAAGAACUCCGAUUGCGAAGGCAGCUUACUAGACUGCCACUGACAUUGAUGCUCGAAAGUGUGGGUAUCAAACAGGAUUAGAUACCCCAGUAGUC
RNAcentral lists this ribosomal RNA (460 nucleotides) under uncultured bacterium. RNAcentral's name for it is "partial 16S ribosomal RNA". It matches the Rfam family "Bacterial small subunit ribosomal RNA", at positions 338 to 795 of the family's 1533-position model. The record is from RNAcentral.